Molecule: ribosomal RNA, 450 nt
Filed under: uncultured organism
Description: partial 16S ribosomal RNA
Rfam family: Bacterial small subunit ribosomal RNA
Source: RNAcentral
CACUCCUACGGGAGGCAGCAGUGGGGAAUAUUGGACAAUGGGCGCAAGCCUGAUCCAGCCAUGCCGCGUGAGUGAUGAAGGCCCUAGGGUUGUAAAGCUCUUUCACCGGUGAAGAUAAUGACGGUAACCGGAGAAGAAGCCCCGGCUAACUUCGUGCCAGCAGCCGCGGUAAUACGAAGGGGGCUAGCGUUGUUCGGAUUUACUGGGCGUAAAGCGCACGUAGGCGGACUAUUAAGUCAGGGGUGAAAUCCCGGGGCUCAACCCCGGAACUGCCUUUGAUACUGGUAGUCUUGAGUUCGAGAGAGGUGAGUGGAAUUCCGAGUGUAGAGGUGAAAUUCGUAGAUAUUCGGAGGAACACCAGUGGCGAAGGCGGCUCACUGGCUCGAUACUGACGCUGAGGUGCGAAAGCGUGGGGAGCAAACAGGAUUAGAAACCCGUGUAGUCCCAUGA